RNAcentral lists this ribosomal RNA (795 nucleotides) under uncultured bacterium. Its description in RNAcentral is "bacterial SSU rRNA". It matches the Rfam family "Bacterial small subunit ribosomal RNA", at positions 8 to 798 of the family's 1533-position model. The record is from RNAcentral.
AGAGUUUGAUCAUGGCUCAGAUUGAACGCUGGCGGCAGGCCUAACACAUGCAAGUCGAGCGGUAGAGAGAAGCUUGCUUCUCUUGAGAGCGGCGGACGGGUGAGUAAUGCCUAGGAAUCUGCCUGGUAGUGGGGGAUAACGUCCGGAAACGGACGCUAAUACCGCAUACGUCCUACGGGAGAAAGCAGGGGACCUUCGGGCCUUGCGCUAUCAGAUGAGCCUAGGUCGGAUUAGCUAGUUGGUGGGGUAAUGGCUCACCAAGGCGACGAUCCGUAACUGGUCUGAGAGGAUGAUCAGUCACACUGGAACUGAGACACGGUCCAGACUCCUACGGGAGGCAGCAGUGGGGAAUAUUGGACAAUGGGCGAAAGCCUGAUCCAGCCAUGCCGCGUGUGUGAAGAAGGUCUUCGGAUUGUAAAGCGCUUUAAGUUGGGAGGAAGGGCAGUAAAUUAAUACUUUGCUGUUUUGACGUUACCGACAGAAUAAGCACCGGCUAACUCUGUGCCAGCAGCCGCGGUAAUACAGAGGGUGCAAGCGUUAAUCGGAAUUACUGGGCGUAAAGCGCGCGUAGGUGGUUCGUUAAGUUGGAUGUGAAAUCCCCGGGCUCAACCUGGGAACUGCAUUCAAAACUGACGAGCUAGAGUAUGGUAGAGGGUGGUGGAAUUUCCUGUGUAGCGGUGAAAUGCGUAGAUAUAGGAAGGAACACCAGUGGCGAAGGCGACCACCUGGACUGAUACUGACACUGAGGUGCGAAAGCGUGGGGAGCAAACAGGAUUAGAUACCCCGGUAGUCCAA